RNAcentral lists this long non-coding RNA (3615 nucleotides) under Capsicum annuum. RNAcentral's name for it is "long non-coding RNA (CANN_LNC007950)". Lineage: Eukaryota; Viridiplantae; Streptophyta; Magnoliopsida; Solanales; Solanaceae. The record is from RNAcentral.
ACUCUGGUAGAUGGACAUAUGAACAACAAUAUGAAGAUUACAUCAGUGAUGCAGUAUUGUUGAGCAUAAAUGAAUCGUAUAACCAAGUCUACACACUACUAGCUUCUCACAUUGGUGUAGAUUUGACCUGCAAAAGCAUUCAUAUUGAAUAUCAAUUAACAGAUAUUGUUUUUUGUGGAAAUUUUGACUUUUAAGAGUCGUCAUUUAAUUUAUUUGAAAAGGAAUUAAGAAAAUCUUUAUACGAUACUUUAAACUAUUCAAAACAGAAAAAUCAUUUAAACUUUAGAGAUUCUAGGUAAGCGGUUCCUAUUAAUGUUUUAGGAAGAUUUUAGGGCACCUAAAACGUCUGCUAACUUACGGUUAUCCGAACUGUUUGAAAAUAUCUUGUACUGACUUAAAAAGAUUGAUUUUUCAAAAGUGAUUGAUUUUAGGAAAAAGUUGUGUAAAAAUAGGUUUGGACGACUUAGUAGGGAUUUUAACUAAAUCUAAACAAACUAGCAACAAAGCAUGUAAAAGAGGAAGGGGAGAAAAUAUAAGACAUAGGCCAUUGGGCCCAAGUCGACGGAUCCUGUCCUAGUCUAGUUGGGCUUUUUGGCUCACUUGCAUCUGUCCUAAUAUAAUGUUGAGAUUUGGCCCGUAACCUGUCCUAAACUAAUUUUUCAGGCCUGUUGGACUGAAAUCUGCUCCACCUUUAUUAAAUUUACAACUUUGGCUUCAAGGCCCAAAUGAAUAAAUAAAGAAAAAAAGACUAAGACAACAAAUAAGUGAAUACAUGAGACAACAAACAAGUAAAUAAAUAAAUAAAUAAAUAAGACCGUCAAGUCUCUUAGCUACUUCAAAUAUGGGAUUUUAACCCCUUCUUCUUCUUCUUUAAUCUCAUCGUAUUCAUAUACCAUGGAUCACUUUUAACUAAACUCCGAAAUCGACCCGCAAAGGGUGGCUUUAUUGGCUCAUGGAAAAUAUGCAACAGGAAUGAGUCCAUGCAGGACUCAAAGGAUUUUCAUGCAAAGAAAGAAGGGAAAGAACACAUUAAUAUAUGGUUGACAAAAGAAAGAAAAAGAGAAAGGGUAAAAUAAGCCAACACAUAAUUUACCAAAGUGGGAAACAAUUAUAUCGAUUCAUGACUAUAAAAAAAGUAAUCGGGAUUGUAAUAAUGAUCAAGAAAACAAAGUAUGUAUAUUCGUUCGAAUAACCAUCCAAUCAAGAUAAGAGAAAUUAUAAUAGUUGACGUGCUCUCAAUUAAAGAAAAAAAUGAAGAGACUGAUGUAUGAUUGACUAGAGGGAGCAAUGCAACUUAGAUAUUUAAUGAUUAAGAGUCAAUUAAUAAAUAAUGAGUUGUGCUCAUAUAGUCAUAACAUCAACAAAAAACCAGGGUAAUUAAAACAGCAGGGAAACCAAAUUAUGAAUCAAUUUCCCAUAUAAAGAAAAAACUUAUGGAAGAUAAUGCAGAAAGGCACAAUCAAUCUUCAAAUUGAACUCAAAGAAAGAUAAAAGAAACUAAGACAAACCAACUUCCAGAUUCAAGCUCAACGAACAGUAGAGGAAUCAAGAUGCAAAUCAAUUUCCAAUUUAAAGCUUAUGAACAAUAAAGGAACUGGAAUCAAUCUCCAGAUUAAUGUAAAGUAAUAAAGAAAACUAAGAUUUACAACCAAUAACCAGAUUUGAACUUAAAGGAUGGUAGAGAAAUUGAUCUCCAAGUUAAAGCUUGUGGAGCGACUGUGAGGAUUGAAAGAACAUAAUCAUGGAUAUAAAGGAAAACUUUGAAAAAAAAGAAAUCCCUAUACAGAGAACGUUUCCGAAAGCGCACCCUAAUAAACCCCUUUUGUAUGUAAGUCCAUAGGGUGCUUGAGGGUAUUACUACAUGCUAAUCGAGCAAAAAUAAGAGCAUUUAGGAAUCCUAAAGGUUCAAAAGAGGGCCUCAUUAAUAGGUUCUCAAAGAUGGAGGUAGACCAUCAUGCCGCUCAACUCCACCUCUUAACUGGGCUUUUGAAAGCAAAAAAAUGUGACUUUAUCCCUCUUUCCUUGACGUUUCUAUUCAAUAAAAGUCUUUAGGAAUCCUUAGUCCAAGCGCGAAUUACAUGUAUAAAAUUAUGACAACACAAAAAAUUAUGGGAUUCUCCAAAUAAGCAUAUUCAAAUCUUCAGUAGUUCAACAGGACAACAUCAAAUUCAUCUUUUUACUCGGUCAACAUCUUGAAACAUAAACCUAAGGGAAAAUAAGAAUCUAUAUUUGACUUUUUGGGACCAAAAUAGGCGCAACCAACAAAUUAAAGAAGGGGGAGUGGCAGGGGAUAUUAUUUUCAUCCUCAUCCUCUUUCUAACAAAUUCAGCAUGAGUUUAAUAGCCAAAAUAGUCCUCGAAGAAUCAUGGGAUUUUCUGGUAACUUUAUUAUCGGACAUAUUUUGGUCAUUCUCUUUUGACAUUGGAGAAACUAGAGGAAAUCAUAAAAUAUUCCUGCUAGUGAUGUUACUAGCUAAAUAGAAAUCCGUGACUCAAACAAGACACCAUCAAGCUAGCCAGUAAAGCAAAAAUUUAAACCAGAAUCCCGAAGUGAAUCGGUGGAUCAAACCCACAAGCAAUACCAAUAUAAAUCUAUAAAUUGGAGGCUAAAUAGCUUUGUUAAAAAUCAACUAAUAGAUUAUAAAUCUGAUACAGGCAAAUGAGACUCAAGCCGAAAGAUUUAAUGACUAAAUCGGCAGUUUGACAUCAAACAUAAUCACAUGAUAAGCAAUAUCUUCAGCAAACAUAUCCAAUGGUCUUACAAGACCUCUACAGCAAAUAAUCCUAGCAUACCAUAUCAAUAACAAAACACUAAUACACCACAGAAUUGGAAGAUGAAGGAGAAAUAAUCAAAAGAUAAAUAAAAUAGAGUGUUACCUGUUUGGGAGCAGCAAAAUAGAACUUCGAGCUCUUUUGAACUUCACCACCACUGGAAAAUUCAACACCGCUACGAAAAUAUUGACUAGCCGACUUCUUUUCCUAAACUUUUUACUAAAAAAUUCUUUUCUAUUCUUGCAACCAAUUUUUCUCCCUUUUUUCCUUCCUCAUUUUCUCUUAUUUUUUGUUUUCAAAGGAAUUUUUUCCUCCUCUUUUUCGGACCCCUUUUUUCUCCCAAAACUAACCUUUUUAUAGAGAAAAGGCUAGGGUUUAUUUUAGGGUUUCAACUGGUGUGGAAAAAAUUAAAAUUGGGGGGGUAAUUUGGGGAAUUUUUUGGAGAUAGAAUUCAAAAUUUGAACUCCUAAUAAGGUUACCUCUCCAAAUCCUUUAUCAACUUGGAUUUUUUUUCAAUUAAUUCAAAAUUCCUUUGUAAACCUAUGAGAAUCCACCAAACAUGUACAAAUUCGUACAAAUUCAUCUAAGAUUCGCGAAACCAAACCGUUAGGGGAAACACCUAAGCACUUCUAGAGAAUUCUUGACAUCUUUCUCAUACAACAUCCGCAUGGGAUGCAUGAAAGAGAUUGAAAAUGAGUUGAUUGUGGGUUGUUGGUAUUGGGUUGUUGAUUGGAUCGAGUUUGGCUACGUGAAAUUAUUGUUGAUGUUUGUACGCAAUUGUUCGUGCUUUUGUUGUUGUUCGCAGAUAAGAGAAAAGAGGAUUUAUAGAUGGGCUUAGUUUAUG